CACCAGCAGCAUAUGGAGGUUCCCAGGCUAGGCAUCUAAUCGGAGCUGUGGCUGCCAGCCUAUGCCAGAGCCAUAGCAACACCAGAUCCGAGCCUCAUCGUCAACCUACACCACAGCUCAUGGCAACACCAGAUCCUUAACCCACUGAGUGAGGCCAGGAUUGGAACCCGUAACCUCACAGUUCCUAGUUGGAUUCAUUUCUGCUGCGCCAUGAUGGACCUUGUACAGUGAAAUGUUUUUUCUCGAAAAAAAAAAAAAUCAAUUGUUAUUUUGUCCCUCGUAUUCAAUCUGCUUUCAUUUUAGCUCUUUCUGCCUCGCCAACCCACCCCCGACCCCUACCCCUGCCUUGCCUCUUUCCCCUCAAUCUCUUGUUCUUUUUCUCUAAUCUUAUAUUGCUCAUUGCACUUUUGAGAAAAGUUAUUUUACCACUCCUUUCUCCAAGGAACGCUUUCCUCAGAGAAAGUCACAUGAUACCUUCUUCCUUUUAUUCUUCCCUUCUUGUUCCCCAUCCAUGUCCCCACCACCUCAGAACUUCUAGUUCCCACGACAAUUUCAAAUAUAGCCUAUUUUGCUGUUCCUCCUACCAGGGAGCUUAAAAUGCCUCUAAUUACACCGUUUUCCCCAUCUCUCCUCUUCUUUGUAAUUUAGAUGCAGCACAGCAGUUCAGUUUGCCUGACUCUCCUCUCUGAUUUGUCAUGUUAGUUUGAUGGGUUUCUGUCUUAUGUGAGUCUUGCCCCUAAAUAAAGGCCCAGCACCCCCAUCUGUGUUUAAAAAAACCGCUUCACAGGCAAAACCAAAGGGCCACAGAGCUCCAGUCACAAUAGGCUUUGAUAUUCAACCAGACCCAGGUUGCUAUUCAACUCUUGGUUGAUAAAGAAAUUUCAGUCUUAUUUACCUAAAAAUUUUCCUUCUGCUGAUAAGAAUGCAAGUACUUAUUUCCACCUGGAUGUGCCCACAAACGAAAAGUAAUAUAAUCCUAUGGUUUAACCAUUUCCAUUGGUCCAGAGUAGUUUCCUUCAAAAAGAGUGGGAUCUCAGCAAAUCCACUGUGAAGUUGUGGUGAGAAAAGAACAAUAAACAUAUGUGGCAGGACAGUAUUUUGAACAUUAACUGAUACCCCCUCUUUCCUAUCUAUUCUUUCCUGUUAUCUCUACCCCUCCCCAUACCCUUUCCCUUUAGGCUACUAAUUAUUUCGCUUUUAUUACUCAAGGAAAAAAAAUGAAAGAAAGCACAGAAUUGAUUCCUGAUAUUUUUACAUUUCAAAAGAGACUUCAAAACUGUAAGCAGGGGAGAGUUUAAGAGAAAAGUCUACUGAAGGCAAAAGAUUAAGCUUUUGAAAUGUCAAAGCCAAUGCCUGGAAAAGACUCAAGACUCGGAUAGUGUACAGAAUGUUAGAGUCAGACUCUUCUGUUUCCUGCGACUAGGAAGGGUCUGGAUCCAGGAGAGCCAGUGAGGAAGCUAGCAGUGAGCAGACUUCAGGGUUUCAGAGACAGUGGUCUGGUCUGUGAGGUAUACAUCUUGCCAGAGAGCACAGGGGAUGGUGAGUCCCACAAGCUGAGGGUAAGGCAAUGAGAUCCCAGAGUUCUCAUCCCCUGCCAGCAAGAAGCAGAAGCAGAAGCAGAAGGCAUGUCUGGGAGAGAACUGGGGUAGCUGGGCCCAAGGUACCUCCAGGGCAUAAUUCUAGGGACGUAGUGGGAAGAGAAAAAUCUUUGUUCUCCCUGUGUGUGUGCCUCUCUCUGUAUCCAAAUUUUCCCUUUUAAUAAGAAUAGCAGGGAGUUCCCAUUGUGGCUCAGCAGGAACACCAGACAUACCAGAUUAGUGCCUGUGCUAAGGGUCUCAUUUUAACUUUUUUUCUUUUUAGGGCCACACCCACAGCAUAUGGAAGUUCCCAGGCUAAAAGUUGAAUUGGAGUUGCAGGUGCUGGCCUACACCACAGCCACAGCAACGCCAGAUCUGACCUGCAUCUGCGACCUAUACCACACCUCAAAGCAAUGCCAGAU
Molecule: long non-coding RNA, 1999 nt
Filed under: Sus scrofa (pig)
Lineage: Eukaryota; Metazoa; Chordata; Mammalia; Artiodactyla; Suidae
Description: lncRNA (multiple genes)
Source: RNAcentral